UAGUGGCGAACGGGUGAGUAACACGUGGGCAAUCUGCCCUGCACUCUGGGACAAGCCCUGGAAACGGGGUCUAAUACCGGAUACGAGCCUGGGAGGCAUCUCCCGGGUUGGAAAGCUCCGGCGGUGCAGGAUGAGCCCGCGGCCUAUCAGCUUGUUGGUGAGGUAAUGGCUCACCAAGGCGACGACGGGUAGCCGGCCUGAGAGGGCGACCGGCCACACUGGGACUGAGACACGGCCCAGACUCCUACGGGAGGCAGCAGUGGGGAAUAUUGCACAAUGGGCGAAAGCCUGAUGCAGCGACGCCGCGUGAGGGAUGACGGCCUUCGGGUUGUAAACCUCUUUCAGCAGGGAAGAAGCGAGAGUGACGGUACCUGCAGAAGAAGCGCCGGCUAACUACGUGCCAGCAGCCGCGGUAAUACGUAGGGCGCAAGCGUUGUCCGGAAUUAUUGGGCGUAAAGAGCUCGUAGGCGGCUUGUCACGUCGGUUGUGAAAGCCCGGGGCUUAACCCCGGGUCUGCAGUCGAUACGGGCAGGCUAGAGUUCGGUAGGGGAGAUCGGAAUUCCU
Molecule: ribosomal RNA, 564 nt
Filed under: Streptomyces sp. 343B07
Lineage: Bacteria; Bacillati; Actinomycetota; Actinomycetes; Kitasatosporales; Streptomycetaceae
Also listed under: 2 other names
Description: bacterial SSU rRNA
Rfam family: Bacterial small subunit ribosomal RNA
Source: RNAcentral